UAGGGAAUUUUCGUCAAUGGGCGCAAGCCUGAACGAGCAAUGCCGCGUGAACGAGGAAGGUCUUCGGAUCGUAAACUUCUAUCAACAGGGACGAAAGAAAUGACGGUACCUGAAUAAGAAGCCCCGGCUAACUACGUGCC
This 140-nucleotide ribosomal RNA is filed under the name uncultured bacterium. RNAcentral describes it as "partial 16S ribosomal RNA". It matches the Rfam family "Bacterial small subunit ribosomal RNA", at positions 355 to 509 of the family's 1533-position model. The record is from RNAcentral.